GUCCUUUUGGUUUUAUUUAAGGUCUAACCUGCCCACUGAUUUAUUAAAUGGCCGCAGUAAUUUGACUGUGCAAAGGUAGCAUAAUCAUUAGUUUUUUAAUUAAAAGCUUGUAUGAAGGGUUGGACGAAGUAAAUUCUGUCUCUAUUUGAUUUAUAGUAGAAUUUAAUUUUUAAGUUAAAAAGCUUAAAUUUUUAUAAAAGACGAGAAGACCCCAUAGAUCUUUAUAUUUUUAUAAAUAAUUUUAAUUAAGAAUAUUUUAUUUUUUAUUUAUAAUAAUAUUUUAUUGGGGUAAUAAAGAGAUUUAAUUAAUUCUUUUUAAUAUAAAAUAUUAAUUAAUAAAUAUAUGAUCCAAUAAUUUUGAUUAUAAGAUUAAGUUACCUUGGGGAUAACAGCGUAAUUUUUUUAGAGAGUUCAUAUCGAUAAAAAAGUUUGCGACCUCGAUGUUGGAUUAAAAAUUAUUCUAGGUGCAGAAGUUUAGAAAUUUGGUCUGUUCGACCAUUAAAUUUUUACA
RNAcentral lists this ribosomal RNA (511 nucleotides) under Copelatus distinctus. RNAcentral describes it as "partial 16S ribosomal RNA". The stretch from base 385 to 511 matches the Rfam family "Bacterial large subunit ribosomal RNA", at positions 2473 to 2600 of the family's 2925-position model. Lineage: Eukaryota; Metazoa; Arthropoda; Insecta; Coleoptera; Dytiscidae. The record is from RNAcentral.